Molecule: ribosomal RNA, 525 nt
Filed under: uncultured Paracoccaceae bacterium
Lineage: Bacteria; Pseudomonadati; Pseudomonadota; Alphaproteobacteria; Rhodobacterales; Paracoccaceae
Description: bacterial SSU rRNA
Rfam family: Bacterial small subunit ribosomal RNA
Source: RNAcentral
UACGGAGGGGGUUAGCGUUGUUCGGAAUUACUGGGCGUAAAGCGUACGUAGCGGGUUGUUAAGUUAGAGGUGAAAUCCCAGGGCUCAACCCUGGAACUGCCUUUAAUACUGGCAACCUAGAGUUCGAGAGAGGUGAGUGGAAUUCCGAGUGUAGAGGUGAAAUUCGUAGAUAUUCGGAGGAACACCAGUGGCGAAGGCGGCUCACUGGCUCGAUACUGACGCUGAGGUACGAAAGUGUGGGGAGCAAACAGGAUUAGAUACCCUGGUAGUCCACACCGUAAACGAUGAAUGCCAGUCGUCGGCAAGUAUACUUGUCGGUGACACACCUAACGGAUUAAGCAUUCCGCCUGGGGAGUACGGUCGCAAGAUUAAAACUCAAAUGAAUUGACGGGGGCCCGCACAAGCGGUGGAGCAUGUGGUUUAAUUCGAUGCAACGCGAAGAACCUUACCUGGCCUUGACAUGUACGGAAGGCUUUAGAGAUAGAGCUGUGCCUUCGGGAACCGUAACACAGGUGCUGCAUGGCU